UCACAUACAAUACCCAUACUAUGUGGAUUUUUCCUACGCUUUCAGUCCUUGUUUAUCAGCUGUUUUAAUGAUAACAUGGAACACUUUGAUUAAUGCAUUUCAAGUUAGUAAUUAGGACGAACUUUGAAAGAUUAGACCAACGUGACCCAAAAUUACCCGGCUUGAUAAGACAUUUAUGAUGGUGCAAGGAAAUCUUACAGAAGAGGUUCUAUUAAGUAUGUGAAAUGACUUACCUGUGGUUGCCAUGUGAGAAGUACAUUGAUGACUGAUGUGUUUUGUAAGGAUUUCAAGAAUAUGAACAAAUGAUUUGAUUUUGUUAUUUUGGAAGAUUCUUAGGAAAUUAGGGCAGCUGACACUUAGGUGAAAUAAGCAAUAAGUGUUUAUACCUGUACACAAAGGUAGUUGAAGAAGUGAGGUUUGAAAACCUUUAUAUACUAUUUAUAUAUCAGCCCUUUUUAAAGAAAACUAAGAACAAAAUGGGACAACUCAAGGACUUUCAGUUGCGCCGCUUGGAGGAGCACAAGUACUCCUGUGCCUCCUCCUCUUUAAUGGAUCCAAUGAUGCAGAAGUGGUGGUGCUGGCUGGUAGAGCAGUGUCCCCUGACUCUAGCCCCCAAUCUCAUUACCAUUAGUGGUUUACUUGUGAACAUCGCAACAUCUUUGCUUCUGGUUUAUUAUAGUCCAGAUGCCAAGCAAGAGGUACCGAGGUGGGCUUGUUUUCUUUGUGCCUUGGGGCUUUUUCUAUAUCAGAGCCUUGAUGCCAUUGAUGGCAAACAGGCCCGUCGUACUGGUACGUCAUCACCUCUUGGCGAAUUAUUUGACCAUGGCUGUGAUUCCCUUU
This is a long non-coding RNA of Macrobrachium nipponense, 840 nucleotides long. RefSeq lists it as uncharacterized. Lineage: Eukaryota; Metazoa; Arthropoda; Malacostraca; Decapoda; Palaemonidae. The transcript is spliced from 3 exons. The record is from RefSeq and is a predicted model, not a curated record.